RNAcentral lists this ribosomal RNA (523 nucleotides) under marine sediment bacterium ISA-3171. RNAcentral's name for it is "bacterial SSU rRNA". It matches the Rfam family "Bacterial small subunit ribosomal RNA", at positions 22 to 526 of the family's 1533-position model. The record is from RNAcentral.
GCUCAGGAUGAACGCUGGCGGCGUGCCUAAUACAUGCAAGUCGAGCGAACUGAUUAGAAGCUUGCUUCUAUGACGUUAGCGGCGGACGGGUGAGUAACACGUGGGCAACCUGCCUGUAAGACUGGGAUAACUUCGGGAAACCGAAGCUAAUACCGGAUAGGAUCUUCUCCUUCAUGGGAGAUGAUUGAAAGAUGGUUUCGGCUAUCACUUACAGAUGGGCCCGCGGUGCAUUAGCUAGUUGGUGAGGUAACGGCUCACCAAGGCAACGAUGCAUAGCCGACCUGAGAGGGUGAUCGGCCACACUGGGACUGAGACACGGCCCAGACUCCUACGGGAGGCAGCAGUAGGGAAUCUUCCGCAAUGGACGAAAGUCUGACGGAGCAACGCCGCGUGAGUGAUGAAGGCUUUCGGGUCGUAAAACUCUGUUGUUAGGGAAGAACAAGUACGAGAGUAACUGCUCGUACCUUGACGGUACCUAACCAGAAAGCCACGGCUAACUACGUGCCAGCAGCCGCGGUAAUAC